UCUGAAGGAAGUCUGGGCGCGAUCAAUCUUAUUCGCCAAAAGGUCUGACAGCUCCUGGCCCUUGACAACACAUUGGGAGCUUCUUGCUCUUUCCAAGACCAAAUGUUGCCGAGAAAUGAGGGAAGAGCGAGAAACGCAAUGGCGCAGGCAGAGAGAAGGCAGAGAAUGUCUAAGCGUGGAAGAAACAUCCAAAGAGUUCUGUUCGCAGGAAGCAUCUCUGGCGCGGCUUCCCGCUACUCGUUUCCUUUCUUCUUUAAAAGAAAAAAAAAUUAAAACGUUAAGUUUCUUGUCCCAGUUAAGGGCAAAUCCUACAUCCUCGAGCGUGUGUCUACACAUGUACCCAUCUACCGCGGACGUUUCCAAAGGUCAUUCCAGGAAGGUUCUCAGAAGAUAAAGAACAUAUUUUUAGAGUGAACAAAAUGGCGACAUUUUUUCCCCUGUGCCUUGGGAGAUGCAGCGGAGAGAGGGCAAGGCUGAUUUCUCCCCCCAAAUAUACGCCUGGCUACAGAUAUAGGUGGCUUUUCACUUCGUGCUUUAAGCUGCGAGCAGAUACAGGGCUCAAAUCGGAACCUUAACAUCCCCUGGCUUAUAAAAACAAAAAACCCAAACCCAAACCAACCCCUAAGAAGCAAACAUUUCUUUUUGAAUGUGGGGGCUCUGGGGGCUCUCCCAGGGGCGGCUCCAGGAGCAGCAACACAAUAUUUCGUUCUCGUGGCAUCAAAAAAGGAAAACACUUGGAAGCACUGCAUUUUAUUAGAAAGCCAAGCGGCCACGUUCUCUGCCUCUGUCUCUCUGUCUCUCUGUCUCUCUGUCUCUGUCUGUCUCUGAAAGACCCCAAGGAGGGGGGAAGAGGAGCCCAGGCUCAGAAAUUGGGGCAAAAUAUCCCCAUUCCCGGGAAGAAGGUUCAUGCUUGCAAGCUGCCAGCGACUGUCAAGCAGUCCAGGGAAGGGGAAGGCUUGGCUAGCGGCUGCUGCCUACCUUCACUUCACGUUCGGCCCCCUUUGUGAGCCUGAACUACCGUAGUUACCGAAAAACUGCCUCAAACCUCCUAGGCGAUUUAUGACGGACUGUCUCUUCCUGGAGUGAUUAACGACAUGGGAAGUCAUAAACGACUGUAUUUCGAAUUUGCCCCUUGGAAACGGCGUCCCGCCGCCUCUGAUUUGUAUGCCUGGCUCCGCUGGCCUUUAUUUAAGGCAGCCCCCACACCACGUAACAGUCUUUGGCUUCUCUCGGGUGACCCCGAUGCGAGAAGAGACUUCCCCAGUGCUCAAGAGAGGAACGUCCUUCUCCCUUGGGGUGGCUGGAAGGAGGGCGACAGAGAGGCAGGAGAGGGGAAGAGAGACACCCAGAGAGAAAGGGAAAGAGAAAGGCUCUCAGGAGAAGAUGGCGAUCGCCCGCCCGCCCGCCUGCCCGCCGGCCGGCCUGCCUGCCUGCCUUCCUCCUCGAGCAGAGUGGUGGAUCUCCAUCCCCGCCCCCAUUGCCCCCCCACUCUCCCACCCACCCACUCGACUCCCACUGCUUCUCGGGCCCAGCACCAGCACCUGUGAUCGCCGCGCUUUGUUCCUGGCUUUGGGAGCUCCAGGGAGACUCUGGCUCUGGAUUGGGGCCUGGCAGCUCGGAGGCACGACCCCAAGCCAGCCCAGCUAGAACUAGAGGUUCGGACCCAGAACCCGCAUCGAGGGGGCGCCCCCUUCCCCACCCGCCUACCCUGCUAGCAGCACCUCAAGGACAGCCCUAGGCCCAGGCGGGCUCCCGGAGCUCUGCUCGGGAGAGCCCGGAAGGAUCCUGGGGGCUCGGGCAGCAAAGACUGGGGAUACCUGUGUCUAGCCUCCCUUCCCCUGGGCGUGGGCAGCCCCUAAUCUCGGCCAAAGAACACGUUCUGGAUACCGAAUUAGUCAGAAUAAAAACUUUAUUUUGUUUUUUUGUUUUUGAUUUUUUCAGAACGUGAGCAGCAAGGAAUGUAGACCUCUCGACAAAUCUGGGAUUUUUUUUUUUCAGGAUUACAGAUUGUUGGGGGAGGGGGUCUGUUUAGCCGGAUGUUACAAGCAUAAACUACUGUUGGAGGGGGGAAAAAAGAAGGGAAAAAAGGUGGUUUCUCUCUGGUAUUGUUACAAUCGUUACCAUCUUGGUAAAGGAAUUCUCUUUCCUUUUCGAACCAAACUGUCGUUAGAACGGCAAUCUGCUCCUGAACAAAAGGUCAGAGGAGAGCUCCUGAACAAUCAGGGUAUGGGGGGGGGGUAAUAUAAAUAUGAGCGGAUGGGGAUAAAUAAUAUUUAAACACUUAGAUUACUCAAUGUUUGCAAAAAAAUAUAAAUAAAUCUGACUGUUCACCAGCAUACACACAUCGAGAGACGGACACAGAUUCAUUAUUGUCCAGGGAGCCCCUGUUUCAAAGCGCCCUUUGAUAUCCUUUCUCGCUCUUUAAAAGAAGUGCAAUAAAAAACAACAACUAAAAUAAUAAUUAAUAAUAAAACACAACUUAAUCGCUUCCCCUCGGGAGCCAUAAUGUACGAACAAAUUCACAUUGAAGAACUCGGCUAGAAAAUUUGUUCAUAUACCCUGUUUCAGAUAAAAGAAUAAAGAAGGUGAAGGAAGGAAACCCCUCCUCUCGCCCCCACCUCCAGCCAAAGAGAGCCGGAGAACUCGAGCUGGGGGCAGAUAAAUAUCACCAUGGAAACUCUAGAGCCAUUCAAGCAACGAAUAUUGCUACGUCAUAUAAACUAUAAAAAGGCUUUACCCAAGAAAACAAAAGAAGGGGUGGGGGAGGGGAGAGAGGAGAAAGAGAGACAGGGAAGGAAGGAAGGAAGGAAGGAAGGAAGGAAGGAAGGAAGGAAGGAGGGAAGGAAGGAAGGAAGGAAGGAAGGAAGGAAGGAAGGAAGGAAGGAUCAUUUAAAAAAAGAAGAAGAAAGCAAAAAGCACAACAGAACCAAAACAAGAAAGAAAGAAAUGGGUUGACUUUGGGUCCACUCAACCCCGAGGUCCAUCACAGAUGGGUCAGCUUGGGUGCCUCCUGAAUUCUUCCCUGAGAAGGAUGGUGAGCUGUAAGGUCUGUGUAGGUGGGGUGGGGCUCACAAGGUCCAUGAUGAUGGUUGUUGGCUAUGGGCCCAGCCCCCCCAUAGUCCAGGUUGGCAGAGACGGGAUGGGGGAGAUGAGUCAGACCAAAGAUGGAAGACCCGGAAUUACUCAUGGGCUCCACAUAGUUGCCCCCCACGAAGACGGGGCUUCCCUGUUGAGCAAGUUGGCCAUCUCUACCCUCCUGGGCCUACACAGAUACCUAUUGAAGUGGAAUUCCUUCUCCAGCUCCACCAGCUGGGCGCUUGUGUAAGCUGUUCGAGCCCUCUUGGAUGAUGCCUGCCCCGGGGGGCUUUUAUCGCCAGAGCAACUCUCACCUACACAAAUCACACACAAAGAAGAGGAUGAGUACUCCACAGCCACUGAGCCCCCAGCCCCUGUAGCCCAAGCCAACGGCCAUGGGCACACUCCCUGGACCACUGGGAGGCCCUUAGAGCAUCUGGUCCAGGGAGGUGCUCCCCUUCCUCCAUGGCCUGCUCCUCUCCACCCUCCUCCCCUCCAGCAGCCUGGAAGGACUGAAAGGGCAGGAAAUGUUCUACCUCUCAGCUGUCUCAGGGAGAUGGAAGAACUAUGGAAAACAGACAACUGAAACCAAAUCUAGGGGGAAGUGAGUUUGUGGGAAAGUCAUCUUCAUCCUCCAGAUGAAGGAGAAGCUCCUCCCCCCCUUGGCAAGAGGGCUGCCUGACUGAAUUCUUUUCACCCUAGUGCCUAAGGCUCCAUUUCUCCAGGCAUGUAUAUCUAGUGAGGGUGACCUGCUAGAAAGAGGUCCUGAAGCAGCCUGAACAUGGGAGCAAAGCCAUCCAGUCCCUGAAUGGACCGCCUAGACCAGUGGGGGAAGGGCUCCAAGACUUUAGCUGGGAGGCAUGUGGCAUGGAUUUGCCCAAGAUGUUCCUUACACUCCUGGUCUCCCUGGGCUCCCCCCAGGCCUCCCCAGCCAAACACGGUUUGUUCCAGGUUUAGAACUACUUCUAGUACCAUCAGCUGGAAAGGAGGCAGAUGUAAACAAGAGGCCUGAAAGCUGCAGAGGGCUCGCUCAGGCCCAGGUGGUUCACAUUAGGGACUACAAACUCGGUAAUCCCCCACCCUGGGUCUUCUCUUUCCCCCAAGGCCUGACUUUCUUGUGCUAGCACAGAGCACGGGUUUGCUGGAACGUGUGUCCCAGGCAUUGAACCUGCCUGAGCACCAAUAGCUUCUGAUUUUAGGCAAAGCAUUGAUUCUGACUGCA
Monodelphis domestica (gray short-tailed opossum) is the source of this 4297-nucleotide non-coding RNA. NCBI's taxonomy places the organism in Eukaryota, Metazoa, Chordata, Mammalia, Didelphimorphia, Didelphidae. The record is from RefSeq and is a predicted model, not a curated record.